AUCACCUGGGGAUCUGGUUAAAAUGAAGAUUCUGAUUCAGUAGGUCAGGGAUAAGGCCUGAGAAUCUGCAUUUCUAACAAGCUCUUAAGUGAU
Molecule: microRNA precursor, 93 nt
Organism: Dasypus novemcinctus (nine-banded armadillo)
Lineage: Eukaryota; Metazoa; Chordata; Mammalia; Cingulata; Dasypodidae
Source: Ensembl